AGUGAGCGCUGGCGGUAGGCCUAACACAUGCAAGUCGAACGGCAGCACAGUAAGAGCUUGCUCUUACGGGUGGCGAGUGGCGGACGGGUGAGGAAUACAUCGGAAUCUACUUUUUCGUGGGGGAUAACGUAGGGAAACUUACGCUAAUACCGCAUACGACCUACGGGUGAAAGCAGGGGAUCUUCGGACCUUGCGCGAUUGAAUGAGCCGAUGUCGGUUUAGCUAGUUGGCGGGGUAAAGGCCCACCAAGGCGACGAUCCGUAGCUGGUCUGAGAGGAUGAUCAGCCACACUGGAACUGAGACACGGUCCAGACUCCUACGGGAGGCAGCAGUGGGGAAUAUUGGACAAUGGGCGCAAGCCUGAUCCAGCCAUACCGCGUGGGUGAAGAAGGCCUUCGGGUUGUAAAGCCCUUUUGUUGGGAAAGAAAAGCAGCAGGUUAAUACCCCGCUGUUCUGACGGUACCCAAAGAAUAAGCACCGGCUAACUUCGU
Molecule: ribosomal RNA, 491 nt
Filed under: uncultured bacterium
Lineage: Bacteria
Description: partial 16S ribosomal RNA
Rfam family: Bacterial small subunit ribosomal RNA
Source: RNAcentral